RNAcentral lists this ribosomal RNA (407 nucleotides) under uncultured bacterium. RNAcentral's name for it is "partial 16S ribosomal RNA". It matches the Rfam family "Bacterial small subunit ribosomal RNA", at positions 30 to 526 of the family's 1533-position model. The record is from RNAcentral.
AUUGAACGCUGGCGGCAGGCCUAACACAUGCAAGUCGAACGGAGCGGCGGACGGGUGCGUAAUGCCUAGGAAUCUGCCUGGUACUGGGGGAUAACGUCCAGAAACGGACACUAAUACCGCAUACUAUUAGAUGAGACUAGGCGGGAUUAGCUCUUUGGUGGGGUAAGGGCCUACCAAGCCGACGGUCCGUAACUGGUCUGAGAGGAUGAUCAGCCACACUGGAACUGAGACACGGUCCAGACUCCUACGGGAGGCAGCAGUGGGGAAUAUUGGACAAUGGGCGAAAGCCUGAUCCAGCCAUGCCGCGUGUGUGAAGAAGGUCUUCGGAUUGUAAAGAACUUUCAGUUGGGAGGCGUUACCAACAGAAUAAGCACCGGCUAACUUCGUGCCAGCAGCCGCGGUAAUAC